Molecule: ribosomal RNA, 497 nt
Filed under: uncultured bacterium
Lineage: Bacteria
Description: partial 16S ribosomal RNA
Rfam family: Bacterial small subunit ribosomal RNA
Source: RNAcentral
GAUGAGCGCUGGCGGCGUGCCUAAUACAUGCAAGUCGAGCGGACAGACGAGGAGCUUGCUCCUCUGACGUUAGCGGCGGACGGGUGAGUAACACGUGGAUAACCUACCUAUAAGACUGGGAUAACUUCGGGAAACCGGAGCUAAUACCGGAUAAUAUAUUGAACCGCAUGGUUCAAUAGUGAAAGACGGUUUUGCUGUCACUUAUAGAUGGAUCCGCGCCGCAUUAGCUAGUUGGUAAGGUAACGGCUUACCAAGGCAACGAUGCGUAGCCGACCUGAGAGGGUGAUCGGCCACACUGGAACUGAGACACGGUCCAGACUCCUACGGGAGGCAGCAGUAGGGAAUCUUCCGCAAUGGGCGAAAGCCUGACGGAGCAACGCCGCGUGAGUGAUGAAGGUCUUCGGAUCGUAAAACUCUGUUAUUAGGGAAGAACAAAUGUGUAAGUAACUAUGCACGUCUUGACGGUACCUAAUCAGAAAGCCACGGCUAACUACGUG